Molecule: unclassified non-coding RNA, 604 nt
Filed under: Leishmania donovani
Lineage: Eukaryota; Euglenozoa; Kinetoplastea; Trypanosomatida; Trypanosomatidae
Description: gene:unknown
Source: RNAcentral
AAUGGUGAAACCAACACACGUGCGCUCACCUACACGGAAAGAGAAGCCAAAAAAAAAAGAAUUUGCGUUGCACAAUUUGCCUGUUUCGAAUUCACCUGUCGCAUACGCUUUCAUCACGGGAAGACGCGGCUCACACACACACAGGCAUAACACAUACGAGGCUCGAUAGUGCGUGCCUGUUUCUUUGCGCCACUCCAUUUGUCUCCACAGAGGAGCAUCAGACACGGGAAGAGCCAGCUCCAAGGUUUGCCGUAAUCCAUCGAUCGCCACCUUGUUUCCUGCUGUGAGGGGCCGACGCACGUCCACCGUAAUCAAUCCGUUGUGUAUCAUAACAAGGGGCGGCAUUUCUCUUUCUCGCUGCUCGUUUUGCCCCUCCCCCACCCUCCUCUGUUGCUGCGGAAGCUUUGCUUCACGCGUACUUCGCGCGCGACACGUAUGCAUCGGCGUACUUACCCACGCCGUUUUGUGCGCGCGUGCAUGUGUGUCUGUGCCGCCGCUUCUGGCUCACUGUUUGCCCUCUGCUGAUAUCCUUUGCAUUCUCCUCCUUCCACCCCCCACCUGUGCGUGCGUGUGUGUGUGUGUGUGUGUGUUUGCCAUUCUUCAG